GGGUUUGAUUAUGGCUCAGAUUGAACGCUGGCGGCAUGCUUUACACAUGCAAGUCGAACGGCAGCACGGGGGCAACCCUGGUGGCGAGUGGCGAACGGGUGAGUAAUAUAUCGGAACGUACCCGGAAAUGGGGGAUAACGUAGCGAAAGUUACGCUAAUACCGCAUAUGCCCUAAGGGGGAAAGCGGGGGAUUCGCAAGAACCUCGCGUUUUCGGAGCGGCCGAUAUCGGAUUAGCUAGUAGGUGAGGUAAAGGCUCACCUAGGCGACGAUCCGUAGCUGGUCUGAGAGGACGACCAGCCACACUGGAACUGAGACACGGUCCAGACUCCUACGGGAGGCAGCAGUGGGGAAUUUUGGACAAUGGGCGCAAGCCUGAUCCAGCCAUGCCGCGUGAGUGAAGAAGGCCUUCGGGUUGUAAAGCUCUUUCAGCCGGAAAGAAAACGCACGGGAUAAUACCCUGUGUGGAUGACGGUACCGGAAGAAGAAGCACCGGCUAACUACGUGCCAGCAGCCGCGGUAAUACGUAGGGUGCGAGCGUUAAUCGGAAUUACUGGGCGUAAAGCGUGCGCAGGCGGUUUUGUAAGACAGAUG
Molecule: ribosomal RNA, 592 nt
Filed under: uncultured bacterium
Lineage: Bacteria
Description: bacterial SSU rRNA
Rfam family: Bacterial small subunit ribosomal RNA
Source: RNAcentral